GUAAGAACAAAAAAGUUCAAGGAGUUGUUACCUCUGCCAACAGCAAAGGAAUUCUUUCUUCAACUGAAGAGUAGAUUCUAUAGUGCUUGUAAAUGAAGUGUUGAAUGGUAGUAAAAGUUUGGGCAUUGAAAACAGAGGAUGUGCAGAGACUGUAAAGAAAUUAAGUGAGAAUGGUUUGCUGGAUAUGCUAUGUUAGUAUGUAUGAAUAAUAGAACAAAUGAGCCAAAGAUAAAACUGGGCGUAAGAAGAAUCAAAUAUAGGGUGCAAGAAAAAUGACAGCACUAAUGAGGGAGGACAGUUGGAUAUCAAAAUGCUAAAAGAUUCAAGUGAAAGAAAUCUAUGCAAAAGGAAAAUUGAGAAAACAUAGCAGAAGUGAUGAAAACUAAUAACCAGAUAAAAUAUAUAUAGCUGCUCACUGUAAACGCCCAAAGUAACAAAUCUUUGGAGUAGCUUAAAUAAACUAUGUAUGCAUAGAUAAGGGUGCUUAUUCAAAAGGCAAGGGGAAACUAAUUGAUGCGUACUCUUUAGGGAUAUUUGUUCCAAUUCUUUUUAAUGUAUUAGUCAGGAAGAUGGAAUGUGCUCAUGAUUUUUUACAGCCCUUCCUAGAUUGGUGACAUUGACAUAGCUUAUAUUCAGCUUCAUCAUAUGUAUGUUGGUAUAGGGGAAAAAAGAAAGAACAUGGAUAACAUGGAAACCCUGAAGGUUACUACAAAUCUUAGGCUUCACCAUCACAGGAUUUCUCUUGGCAGAUGUACAUCCUUUAUAUAGCCAAAAAUGAAUCACCAAAAUUGGUCUUCUUUUUCAGAAUCAGAACAUACUUUAACCCACAUUGAAGUGCAGAAAAGGCUAAAAUAUUUUUAUCACAUUUACACUGCUUUAAUACUUACAGUUUAGAUCACAUCCACUUAACUGAUUGUCAUGAAGUCAUUCUCCAACAUAUUCCAGAUGUAUUGUCUCAUCUUUCUGGCCUCUCCUCUGCCACUUCUACUCAUACACUUUUGAUUCAUCUCUCCUCUUCUCAUCACCCACAAUGUGUCCACCAAACACAGCUCUACACUAACCUUUAAGCCUGGUUCUUCCUUCUCAGAACACUGGCUUUCAGUUUCCACUGCAGCUGUUGAAUCACACCUCAUCAAGAUGAAUGUUAAUGGAGUUGAUUUCACCAGUCUCAGAAAAUCUGCGAAAGCUAUGGUCUCAGCCUGUUCGUUCAGAUCAAGCCAGUAAACAAAAAUUAGAAUGAAUGAGUGAGUGAGAGAGAGAGGGGGGGGGGAGAAAGAUGAUAGGAAACUGCAUGUUUCUGAAACACUUUGUCUAGAAAAGACUUUAGAUAUCUAAUCACAUAAAAAAAAAAAAAAAAAUACUUUAUGCAUCUAGGAUAUUCAUGAGGUUUUCAUCUCUUAACCAACUUUGUUAGACAUUGGAAAUUCAUAUCUAUAAAUGUCAGUACCAGAUAUCCUCAUAUGUAAGGCAGCUUCUAAACAUUUAUUUAAUGUUGACUGCUGCUCUACUUAUUGGAUAAUAAUUAGUCAAAUGCAGUCAUUAUAGUCAUCUAUUUAUACCAUGGGAAAUAGUUUCUUUGCUUUGGUGGUAAUAGAAUUGUUUUAAACAAGACUUUCCAGUUAUCCAACAGAAUUCUAUUGAUUUGAUCAGCUGCAAGACCUUUUCUUUAGAAGUUUGAAUAGGAAGGUUACAUAUUGAUUUCAUAUUAUUAAUAUAUUUCUCUUCCUCCCCCUCUCUCUCUCUCUGACACAUAUAGUGAUGAGGAAUGAUGUGUUAAUUUUGAUGAUGUUCAUUGUUCAAUGAAUGGAAUUAUCUACUCAGUAUAUUAUGGUGUACGUGGUUGUGUAUUUUACAGACACAUGUAUCUUUAAUAUAAUCUGCUCGCAGAAAUCAGUUUGAUAUUGCAUCACAGGAAGGGCUGGCUUCUUUGAUUUAUCUCACACACUUCUGUACAGUUGCAAUCAACCCAGUUUCAUUCACUGCUUAAGCUAACCAAAACCUUUGUAGAGGAUUUAACCCAUCAGUUGAGCAGUGGAAUCAAACCCAUGGUACUUGAUUGUGAAUUUCUUAACAAUUUAACCACACCUGCAUAUCACACACACACACAUCAAUUGAUUAGGAAGAUAAUGAACUUAGAUAAGAAGCAGUUUGGCUUUGUGCCAGAUAAAAAGUACUAUUGAUGCUAUCUUCCCAUUUAGAUAAGCAUAGGAGAAGUACCUAACCAGGAAUGAGCCCUUAUAGCUGGCAUUUGUUAACCUAGAGAAGGCCUUUGAGAGGGUUCUACUUGAAAUGAUUCAGUGAUCAUUAAGGAAGUUAGGGUUUGAUAAUUGGCUUUUCAGCAAUGUACAGAAACACAAUAAUCAUGGUGAGAACUUGUAAAAGACAACUUGUUAUGAGCUACAGACUAGAAGUGUGGAUGGAGCAAUGUACAGUUCAGAUAGGUGACAUGAGUUGAAAGACUUGGAAGAAAGGUGAAACAGGGAAUAGUAUCAUUUAGCUAUAAGAAAAGAUAGACAUCAAGCAAAUGUAGCACAGAGACAAGCUAAGAGACCUUUGUCAAUGUUCUGCUAUGAGUGGAUAGAAGCAUAUAAUGUUUCAGAUUGCAAAACAGUGUGUGAAUGUGAAUCAAGACGUCGCUGAGAGUGACAGUGGCACACAUACCAUCACUGAUGUGGAACAGAAAGAGGUUUGUGAAAGGCAGCAAGCUGGCAGAAUUGUUAGCGUGCUGAGCAAAAGGCUUGGGGGCAUUUCGUGUCUUUAUGUUCUGAGUUCAAAUUUCCCUGAGGUCGACUUUGCCUUUAAUCCUUUCAGGGUCGAUAAAUUAAGUACCAGUUGCGUACUGGAGCCGAUCUAAUUGACUGGCCCCCUCCCCCAAAAUUUCGGGCCUUGUGCCUAAAGUAGAAAAGGAAAGAGGCUUGUAAAUGUUACUACAUGAAGUUACUGAAUGAGAUGUGGCGAAAAUAAUUUACACCAAAUUAAUUUUACAGAGGAUAAUGGUUGUACAGUCGAAAAUGUGAUUAAGGAUAUGAAGGCAGGGAAAGCAGCUGGGUCAAUGAUGAUAGUUACUGAGAUGCUAAAAAUAACUUGCAAAUAAUGCUUGUACUGGUUACUUGCAUCAUAAUUCAGGUAAAACAGGGCCAUGUCAUACCUAAUUAUAGGUGUUGCAGAAUCAGCUGCUUUGAGGUCAGAGAAGAUACUCAAAAAACAAGCUACCACAGAGGCCAAGUUAUGAAAGUGACAGAGUUUUAGCCUUCUUGGUUGGAAAAAAUAAAAUUACCUUAGAUUAUAUGUAUCUUAAAUUUAUGCCAUGGUAGGGUACUGCUAAUACUUUCUCCCAAGUGAGACAACUACAGGAGAAAUUCUUAACUCAGAACAGGCCCCUGUACCUAUCCAUCUGGUGAAGACUUUUGAAAGAGUAUCAUUAUGUUGCGGUGAAAGUGAAGUGGUGAUUCAAGAGACAUAAUUGAAACUGCAGUGGUAGAAUGGUUAUCCCCCCUUUAUCUGUUACUGUUACGUUCUCUCUCUCUCUCUCAAGUAUUCAAAUUCAAUUAUAGACGGAUGUCUCGCCAGUUAAAUGGAUUGUUUCAUAUCCCACCAAAAUAAAAAAAAAAAGGGCCCUACUGUGCAAUACAAGGGGAUCUGUCUCAUGUGAAUACCUAAUAUGUCGGGGAUUCACGAUAUCCUCAUCGAGGAAAGUUAACAAUUGUUCUGACCGCAUCCGGCUUUCUAGAAACCAAGUACUGAUUCAGUGAGGUCCUCAACCAGAUCCCUACCAUUUGGAGAGUGUUUUUUCCUGUCGUUUUUUAAAGGUUCAUUUCUUCCUAAUAUUAAAAAUUUCUGAAUCUUUCAAGACAAAUUCAUAAAUUUAUAGAAAGAUUUUCUUGAAUUUAAUCUUGAAGUGAAGGGUGUUGCGUUGGUUGUUUCGAGAGCGUGACAGUAUAUUUGUUCCUAAUACGAUGGUGCUGCUUUUGAGUGGUAUCCUUUCUGCAGAGGCGAGGUGGAAUAAAUGUACCCAUUGUGCAAGCAAAUAUAAGUGUACUAAGUAAAUGUGUUUAAUAAAAAAAAAAAAAAAAAUUGAUGUGUAUUCAUUCUGAGCAAUGUUCAGCUACAAUGUAAUAUAAAGCAAGUAUGAAUGUUUUUAAUACAAAAUAAUAUGAUUUCUCUCUCCAAGGUGUUCCAACUAACUUCCUGAUCUAGGAUCUUUUUUAAAGCGUAGAAACAUGUAUGAGCAACAACUGAAAUAUAUCCUGAAUGGAUGCGGAGAGUUAUUAGGAAAGAUGUCGUCUUUCGAAGUUUAUUUUCUUAGUCUCUUUAAUAUGUUAAUAAAUGUAAAGGAAUGCAAAACUAAAAGUACCGUUUAGAACAUUUUCCUGUGUUACUAUUACUCGUAUCUGUUUUUCUUUCGCUUUUUCAGUUUAUAUUUUCCAACAUUUCUUUCUUGACGGCAGUUAUUAGAGGAAGGGAGAUAAUCAUUGCACGCGGUUAUUGCAGUUAUCUCCCUUAACUUUUUAAAAAUUUUGAAGAAAUUCAAAUCUGAUUAAAAACUUCGUUACACUCAAGCAAAAAUACUAUCCUUAUAAAUAUAUUUUUUUGCAUCAGGGAUUUAUUUAAAGUCGACUUUAUCAAUCACAGAUGUACAGUCAGUACUGGCACAACUGUGGGAUAUUAUGCACAGUUGAUAACAAAUGACGCCUGACUUUUAUUAUAUCUGAGGUUUAUGAAGCAUUAAAGGAGAAAUAGAAAAAUAGGAGCAGUAAUAAAAAGCCAUAAUUUUUUAAUAUGGAAAGCAACAGUUAUGAAUGCUACUCAAGUAGAUGUAGAGUAAAAUUUUGUUUUAAAGCUUGAUCAAAGUUUUGUUUUAACUGACAUUAAUACUGACUUAAUACAGUUAAUUUCCUGUCACUACUGGAGAUUGUAGAUCUUGACUGCAGGGAUGGUAUGUGUCCUGAUGGAAUAACUCUCUUCCCAUACGAGGGAGGCAGAUUCCUAAUCUAGGACAAGUCGUGUUACAACGCACUCUCCACCUCCAAUCUUGCCAAAAUGGCUGAAAAUGUAGAUAUGCUAGCCAUAACACAGAGGAGAGAAAAAUUAUCAAAUACAAGAGCCUGAUUGGCCGCAGUCAGUUUGUGCUAGAUGCCAUUAAGACCUUUACAAAAUCUGGAUAACUGUGGUCCAUCUGAGAAAUAAACCCUGCAAGGUGGAAUGGCUGCAUCAAUGAAUGUUGCUGGACAUUCUCUGCAACGACACCUUUGCAAUCAUAUCUAUAAGACAUGGCUAAACACAUCAUGUGUUCUGCGGUGUACAACCUACUUCUCCCUCCCACCCCUUCUUCUUGGUGCCUAAUCUACCCCUUUUCUUUGUUUCGUUGGUGAGGUAGUUAUGGGUUUUUUAAAUGAAGCGCUUAUCAGUAUUUUUCAUGUUCAUUAAUUAAAUUAUAUUUAGCCUUUUGGAUGACUGAGUUGAUAGGUAAACAGGCAACUAGCCAAGGAAUUUGCACUUUGCACUGCUUUGUAACUGUAACUAAGAUACUUAAUUUUCAUUACACUAAAUAAAUGCAAUGGUUACUAUAAUUCACUGCUGUAAGCAAUGGCAGAACUAUGAAUAUUAAUCAUCAUCAUCAUCAUUUAACGUCCGCUUUCCAUGCUAGCAUGGGUUGGACGAUUUGACUGAGGACUGGCGAACCAGAUAGCUGCGCCAGGCUCCAAUCUGAUCUGGCAGAGUUUCUACAGCUGGAACUGUCCAGUGUGCUACCACAGAACUUUGAAUUGAAGAAGGGCACAGUCUUCAAGCUUCACAGAAACCUGGACCAGCCAAUAUCUUCUUAUCAUUUUUACAAAUUUUACAGAUCAAAUUCAUCGGCUACCUUCUAGAAAAAGCACUAUUUGGCUGGUUCUGGUAGCUUAUUCAUCCACAAGGUUUGCUACUUUAUUGGUCAACAUCGCAUAUUGCCGAAUUUUUUAUUCCAAUUGAAGUUUCCCGGUCACGUGGACUUAAAUAACUUUAUUUAUAAAGAAUUUUCAUUACUUCCAAAUUAAUAUAAGGUAAUUUUAAAGCUAACAUCCUUUUUUCCCAAAGGAAGCCUGGUUUUGGGUGUCUUUCAUUUUCAGAGAAGUCCUAGAAACCGUUUCGAUUUGCACAUUCUUUAAAUUUCACACUCAAGUGUGAUAUUUCUUAGGAAUAGCUUUUACCUUCUGCCACCUGUCAGUGCACUGAUGUUUGCAUCAAUCAUAUACAUUUUAUCACAAUUGCACUUUUGGUUGAUAGAAUAUCGAUUUUCUUGAAAUAGAUUCUGUCCACAUGUGAAUGUUCAUUCACAACUGUCUGCAUCCAUGUGCCAUUUGGUGCUUAUAAUACCAUUGCAAAUAACUGAGCGCUUUAGUGUUGUGGGAAUUUUUGUGUUUAAAUACCAUAUUUAGUGCAUGCGAACAGCAAUGAGGUAAAUUUGAUUUUUUAAAAAUUUCAUUCAAUUACAGAUUUUCAGUAGGAUGCCUCAAAAAAGCAAGUCUCAUUGGCAGAAAAACAAAAAAUGCUUCAGUUUUGCAUUCCUUGCAGGCAAGCAAGACAGGUGUGCUCUGGCAUGCUUGCAAUGCUGCUUCUACUUCAACUGCCAGAACAUCACAGACAGCUCAACAAGCAGAACUCUGGCGUGCUUGCAAUGUUGCUUCUACUUUGAUUGUCAAAGCAUCACAGACUGUUCAACAAGCAGAACUCUGGCGUGCUCACAAUGCUGCUUCUACUGCAGUUGUCAGAGCAUCACAGACAGAAAUGGAAUUACAUUAUUUUAGACUCCAGUCCUAUCACGAACUUACACUGUCCAAUGGACGGCAGUUGGGUUCCUAGUGGAUGCCUCUGAUGAGAACCCAAUAAGGUUUGAAAAUCAAUUAAGGUUGUUCAUUUUUUUCAGUCUGCAGAGAAAUGGCUAAAAUUUUUCCGUUUAUAAUUAUACCUAUAUAUUAUAUUAUACUUUGAUACUGUGUGGACUAAGAAUCCUGUUGACAGGCAGCUGGUAUUUAUAGUGUUAAAUACUUUUAGUAUGCAAAUUAGGGGCUCCUUCAUAGAGUAACUGCUGCAUUUGUUGAGUAUAUAACAGUUUGGCUGCUUGUUUCUCUGGAAAUUGUUAAAAUGCUGUGGACACUUCUGAUAAGAACCCAAUAAGAUUCAAAAAUCGAUUAAGGUUGUUCAUCAUUUUUUCAGUCUGCAGAGAAAUAGCUAAAAUUUGCCCUGUUUAUAAUUAUACAUAUGUCACGUAGGAUGUUAUAUACAAACGAGUAUAUAUAGUUGUCUAAAUAGAUUCCUGGAAAAAGUCACCUACUUGACAGGCAAUCCCACAAUUUUCAGUAACUGUGAUAUUGUUGAAGUGUAUUUUAGUGGUUGUUAAUACUGUUUUCCAAUACACACACAUACGCAGUGAAGGCAAUGAACAAAAAAAAAAAAAGACAACACAGGAGAAACAAGUUUUAACAAAUAAUGUAUUAGUUUAACACUUAAAAAACAAAAGAGAAAGAGCCUAACGUUUUGGAUGCUAGUCUUUCAUCAGAUGAAAAGUAGCUAGAGAGAGAGGAAAGAGACAAGGUAUUAGGGGUAGUUGUGUGUGUGCACAUGCAGAAGUGCAUCUGUUUUGAGAUGGGCACAAGGGACAAAGGGAGUGUGAGAUUUUAGUGUGCAGAAGUAUGCAAGUACAGUAGUGGCAUGGGCUAGUGUGUGUGGGAGUGUUGGUAUGUGUAAUUGUUAAGUGGUGUAUGAAGAAGGUAUGGAAGGAGGUGGGAGCAGGCAUAAGUGUGAGAUAAAAGGGAAGGCAAGAAGAAUGUAGAGGGGGUGGCAGAAGUGUAAAUAGGGGUAUGGGUGUGAGAUCUGUAAUGUGGAAGAAAAUUAUGAACAAGAGGGUACAAUUACAGUGCUGGUGUAAAGAAAAACAUUUUUUAAGCCCUGUGAGGUACUUAGAGGAGCAGGGGGAAUGCAACAGAAUUCAAUGUAAAGUCUAUAAAUCAAAGGGAUAAGGAAAGAAAAACAAAGAAAGAGAAAAAAUGUAAAAAAAAAAUCCAGCAAGUUUAGGGAGAGGAGUGAGUGAAAAUAAUGAGAAAAAUUAAGAAAAAGUCCAUAUAAUGAGGAGCUGAUAAAUGAAAAUUAGAAGGCAACCAAUAGAUGUCUAAGCAUGAAAUUUUAAGGUGUUUAAAACAAGUUUCUCUUUUCAUCCAUUUUACCUCACUCAUGUCUGCUCCCACCUCCUUACUUUCACACUAAUGCACAAGCAAUCACACCACUAUACCUCCAUACUUGCCACAAAAUCACACACACACACAGCACCCAUCUCAAAACAUGGUUAUACUCCUGUCUCUUCUUCUUUGACUCACCCCAUAUUCCGACGUUGCUCAUCUUCUACUCUGUUUUCUCCCCUCUCUCACUUCUUAACCACUUUUCCUUUCCCAUGCCACUUUUACUUUUCUUCUGAUGAAGGACUAGCAUCUGAAACGUUAAGACUAUUUCCCUUCCUUUUUAAGCAUUAAACUAAUCCCUUUUGUGUUGUCUUUUUCUUUUUGUUCAUUGCCUUCACUAUAUAUUUUUUUAACACAUGGACUUCUUACCUCUUUUAUUCUUUGUUGUAUAUAUAAUAUAUACAGGCAUACCUCAACCUAUGUCGUUAAUUGGUUUCAGGAGACACAACUAAUGUUGAAUUAACUUGUCUCUAGGUUAAACCGAUAAUAACCAUUCCCAGUUCUGUACUUUAUUUAUGAAUGCAUUUUCAAUAAUACAUGGUUAAUAAAAACCUAUUUUAAGCUUACAGACAAGUAAUUUUAUUUUUUAAUACAGUAUCGUAAAAAAAAGUAAUCUAAAUUUACGAAUACAAUUUGGCAGUGUUUACCGUAUGUUGCAGACGCUUUAUUUAUGAAUGUGGUUUGCAAUAAGACCUGGUAAAAUAAUAGCCUUUUUUAAGCCUAAAAAACAAAUUCAGUAAUUAUUAUUAUUUUGCAAUAGUAAAAAAAAUAAAUGAUUUAAAAUUUACCAAUGUGUACAUACAAUUUGGUGGUUUACAUUGCAGAUGUAGAUGGCUGUGGAUCGUCAACAUCAACAACUAACUCUGGCUGUUAUUGUUGUUUGAUGUGCUUAAAAAACCGGUUGAGAGUUCCUCGAACUGUCUUCUUUUCCUUAAAGAUUACAUUAUAAGGAGCAAAAGCUUCGUGACAAGUCCCUAUAAUCUUGGAAAUGCAUUGAGCAUUUGGAUCCAUAUCCACGAAUGUAGAAAGACCUUUUUCAAUAUAUGCAAAUGCUUGCUGCAUUUUCUUAAUAGUAAAGUGAUGUAGCUCAGGUUUGACUUCCUCUUCUUUAUUUGGCUACUCAUGAAGCUCUAUCAAAUCUUUGUUUGUCAGGGACAGCUUAUCUUUUUCAAAUAAAUCUGUGAAAUCCUCUUCCAAGUCCAUUUCCAGUUCUUUGCUUGUAAUCACCAACGUUUUGUUGAAUGCAACAUUAUCAAACCCCCUUAAAAUCAUUCAUAAAUUGUAGGCAUAGCUUCUUCCACACACCAUUCAUAGCUGUGCUCUGUACAUCAUUCUAUGCCGCUGCUAUGUUCUGUACAGCUUUGUAGAUAUUGUAUAUCUUCCAAAAGUCACAAAGUGUGAUGAACUCAUCAAGACCAGUUACAGCUGUUGCUUGCUGCAGCAUACGUUUCAUAUAGUAACACUUGAAGAUAGCAAUUAUUCCCUGAUCCACUGGUUGCAGAAGAGAUGUGGUGUUCGGAAGGAGGUAUAUGAUGGUAAUGUUGGGGUCAAAAUUUAUGAUGCUUUGUGGGUGACCAGGAGCAUUAUCUAAAAUCUUAAAAAGAAUCCCCUUCUCCUAAUUUCCUACACAUUGGUCCUUGGAUCUUAGCUUUACACACACACACACACAAAUAAUAUGGUAAUAACAAUUUUUUUGUGUAAGGAUAAGCAGGCAAUUACAAUACAUAAUUUAAAUAUGUGGCUUAUAAAAGAUAAUCAGAGCAGUUGUCAAUUGCAACUGAUAGAUAAGGACUGUCACUUAAAAUACUUUUAUAAAGCACCAGAAGUUUAAAUUAUUAAAAUACUACAACAGUGAAUGAAAUUGCAAUCCAGAAACAAGGAUUUUUAUUAACAGAUAUUUUUUUUUAUCACAGACAAUUUUUUCAGAUAAUUUAAAAUUUUUCUUAUUAUCACUUAUGAAAUGAUAUUUUAUUUCAAAUGUGCUGUAUCUAUGCAUAUGUGUUCAUGGAGAUGAGUACACAUAUAAUUCAGUUGUAAAGUUACAUAAGUAACUCAAGGACUGAAGAGUCUUGUGUAUUACACAUAUCAAGUUUGAUAAGUGCAAUACAUCAAACUCUUGGUCCUUGAGUCACUUUAUAGUUGAACAAAAUAUAUAAACCCUUAUGUAUUGUGUUCUAUUUCACCUCUUUGUUCCACCAUACCUACAUAUAUCUUUAUCUUUUACUUGUUUUAGUCAUUGGACUGUGAUCAUGCUGGAGCACUGCCUUGAAGAGUUUAACAAAUUGAUCCCAGUACAUAAUUUUUAAGUCUGGUAUUGGUCUCCUUUUACCAAAUUUCUAAGUUAUGGGGAUGUAAACAAACGCAUACACUCACACACUCAAUGCGCUUCCACACAGUUUCCACCUACCAAAUUCACUCACAAGGCAUUGGUUGGCCCAGGACUAUAGUAGAAGACACUUGCUCAAGGUGCUGUGCAGUGGAACAGAACCCGAAACCAUGUGGUUGCAAAGAGAGCUUAUGAACUAUACAGCCAGAGAUGGCAGAAAUAUCCUGUGAUAUUUAGUGAUGUCAGUGUGAAGCUUGAAACAUGCUAAAGUUACUUUUUUAUCCCUUUGGAGAGUCAACAAAAUGAGUACCAGUAUACUAAGAGUCAAAAUAAUUAACUGUAUGCAUUUUCUUCAAAUUUGUACUCUUUUGCUAUCGUAAGAAAACAGACAUAUUUCACUUUAAGUUUUUAAGUUAUCAUUUUCAAUCUGAUUGAAGCCAAUGUAGACCAAUGAAUUGUUGAGUGACUAUAUCUAUUUCAAUGUACAAUCUCAUGUAAAGUGAAGGUGACAGUUGAGAUAACCUGAGGGCAAGAUUAUCUUGUCUCCCUGCUCUUAUUAUACAUAUACUUUAGUUUCUCACAAGAAAUAAAUAUAAUUAUUUCACCUUGAACUUAAAUCUCUAAGGUCACCUGAACAAAGAAACAGAAAAAGGAUUAAACAAAAUUCUAAGCUCUCAUUUGUAACUCCAAGUAAGAAAUCUCAGUUUGAAAUUAGAAAUUAAAAAAAAAAAAUAAUUUCUAGAAGUUUCUUUUUAUGUUUAAGUGAUAAAAAUAUUUGUAAAUUGUGCAAGAGUUCUCGUUCCCAGCUGUUAUGAUCAUGAUACAAUUUACAGCCAACAACAGAUUCUUCUUUUCUUCAGAUAUAAACAGAUUUAGUGCAGGAAAUAUCUGCUAUAAAACAUGUGUUUGUUUAAAGUUGCCAAUUUGUUUAUGCUCAGUUAUAUACUUCCUUGUUAAUCUUUUUCAACAAACUUUAGCAAAUCUCAAACUUAUUUCCAAGAAAUAUUUCAAUUUCAUAUAUGUUCAUAUUACAUACAUCUCAAUGUAACUGUUGAUUCUCCCAAAAAAUCACAUUUCCAGCUAUCUUUAAAUAAAGACCAUAUGUAAGUUAUUAAUAAUAUAUCCUAAAUAAUUUUAUUACGUUCAUCAUGUCUAAAUACUAAUUAAACACUGAAGAUCUGCUUAAAUUAGUUAUGGCAGACAUCACAUAUCUAUUUGUCAAAUGGUACUGGGUCUAUAGGAUAUUUCCUGUUAUAAAUAACAGUAAUGAUAGAAACUUUUAUCUAAUAUCCACAACAUAUUGAUUGUUUGUUCUCAAUUGCCACACAUCUUAGCAACCAUAAACUUCUGUUCAGUUGACACUUUUUUUCACAGCAAAUACUAAUAACCUUCCUGAAAUUCCAUGUGUUAUCUGAAUAACUAGCAGAUAACAAGCUCUAUUGGCAAUGAGCUUGUUACUAAAUUGGAUAAAGCAGUAUAAAUUGUUAAAAGACAUUCACUGAGAGCAUGAUAAAAAUGGAAGUUUGAGGAUCAAAUUUUCAUGCUUGUUCUUAAAUUUGGCAUUUUUGCCUUAAAGAAUUACACUGUUCUUGUGAAAGUGAGAUAUAACCAUAUAUUUUUAAUAAUAAUUUCUAGCUUAGGCACAAGGUGAGAAAUUUUGAGAGGAGAAAACAGACAAUUUAAAUCAAACCUAGUGAUUGACUGGUAAUUUCUUUAUCAAUCUUGGAAAGAUAAAGGCAAAGUUGACUACAGUAAGAUAUAAACUCAGACUGUAGAGAUGAACUAAACACUACAAAGUAGUUAAUGUAGUGCUCCACUAGUUUUUCCAUCCACUUCUCAAAUAAUAGUAAUAAUGUCUAACAGGCACAAGGCCAAAAUGUUUAUGAGGAUGGAAACAGUUGAUUAUGUCGAUGCCAGUACUUGACUGGUAUUUUAUUUAUUGAGCAUGAAAGAAUGAAAGGCAGUUGGCCAUGGCAGGAUUUGAACUCAUAAUGUAAAGCACAGUGUUGCCAAUGUAAUAAUAACCACAAUAGUAGUAGUAGUAGUAGUAGUAGUAGUAGUAGAAGUAGUAGUAUCAGUACCAGGCAGUGGCUCUCAUGCUUCUGAUCUUAACUGAUCGGAAGUGUUAUCAUGUACAUUGUUUUGUCUUGGUAUAAAAGAUGGGCUACAGCAAAUAUUCUGCUCAAUACCACAGAUUUGCUUGUCAGUUGUUUGAUUGUAACCAGUUGAGCAAGUCUCUUAGUUGCUGAUGAUAUGUGCAUCUCUGAUCAUGAGCAUCAUAGCCAUGUGUUGAGAGGAAUUCUGUAGGGUUUAGAUAAUUCACCUUUGGGAAACAUGGGUGUUUCAUUCAACAUCCUUAAACAACCCUUAUUCAAGGACCUUUUGAGUGGGACGGGUUACUCGAACUGAAAAAAAUUCUAACUGGGCCUCACCUGCAAGGUCAUGCACUAUUUAUCUUGAUACGAAAUCACCAUAUUGUGCACAUAGUUGUGAUGCAUGUGCCUAGUGUACCCUUAUCAGAUGGGUAGUCAUAAUGGGUAUACUGGGCUUCAUAUAUUUUACCCAAGUGUCACUUUGAUGGUAUGCACUCUCUCACUCAAUAAUAAUAAUAGUAGUAGUAGUAGUAGUAGUAAUUUUACAUAGGCACAGUAUUAGGGUUACUACUACUACUACUACUACUACUACUACAACAACAAUAAUAAUAAGUAGGUAAAAAAAUGAAUACUAACAGUGUAGUUAAUGACUAUAAUGUUGUAAUUGCUUUAGUUUCAACACAUGAUCUGAGAUCAAAUCACAUGUUAAACAAAUGCAACUCCAGGUUAAUUAAUAUUCAUUAUUCUGAGUGCAAUGGUUUGUCAGACUAAAUACUUUGCCAUAUAAUUCAGUUCUGUUCCUUAACAUUAGGAACUGAAACCCUUAAGAUGUUCAAUAAAAUAAGUAGCAGUAAUAUACUAGGAUUAAUUUAUUUCACUAUACUCCCUCUCCUUUAAAACAUUGGCACUGAGUUUAAGGAAGAAAUCAUUGUUAGUUGAUAAAAGCACAAGGAGUUCAUUAAAAGUGUAGAGUACUGUACCUCACCAUUCUGCUGUGGAUCAAUAAAGUACAGUAAUUCAGAUGCUCAACUUACAUCCUUAUGCCAAAGUUAUUUUAUGCUAAGUUAAGGCAAAUAAAAACAUUCAUAAUCCAUACAGUGCACCUAAUGUAAGCUAUGAGUUUACACUGAAGUGUAAUAAGGUCACAAACAGGCUGAUUUUGUAAGUAUCAGAAGCAAUGAGUUGAUAGCAGUAAGAACACUCAUGAAAUAUAUUCAAUCAAAUGCUCAGAAGGUUCCUUAGAAGGAGUUAACAGUUCCUGUUACCUAGGUGACCAAAUCAGCAGUGAAGUAGGGUGCUCCAAAGAAAUAGUGGCCAGAGUAAGAACAAGAAGGGAAAAGUUCAGGGUAGAUUGUAUGGUACUUCCGUAUAAAGUGCAAUGCUGCAUGGUAGCAAAACUUAGACAUUAAUUGUGGAGGAUGUGUAAAGGCUGGAAGGAAAUGAGGUAAACAUAUUCUGUUAGUUGUGUAAUGUUAGUGUGCAUAAAUUAUGUAGCACAAAUGAGCUGAGAGAAAAACUGAACAUAAGAAGAACCAAAUGUAGUGUGUGUGAUAUAUAUAUAUAUAUAUAGUUGAAAUUUACAGAAAAAC
RNAcentral lists this long non-coding RNA (14221 nucleotides) under Octopus vulgaris (common octopus). Lineage: Eukaryota; Metazoa; Mollusca; Cephalopoda; Octopoda; Octopodidae. The record is from RNAcentral.